UACGAAGGGGGCUAGCGUUGCUCGGAAUCACUGGGCGUAAAGGGUGCGUAGGCGGGUCUUUAAGUCAGGGGUGAAAUCCUGGAGCUCAACUCCAGAACUGCCUUUGAUACUGAGAAGCUUGAGUCCGGGAGAGGUGAGUGGAACUGCGAGUGUAGAGGUGAAAUUCGUAGAUAUUCGCAAGAACACCAGUGGCGAAGGCGGCUCACUGGCCCGGUACUGACGCUGAGGCGCGAAAGCGUGGGGAGCAAACAGG
Molecule: ribosomal RNA, 253 nt
Filed under: uncultured bacterium
Lineage: Bacteria
Description: partial 16S ribosomal RNA
Rfam family: Bacterial small subunit ribosomal RNA
Source: RNAcentral